AAGUGCACCCAUAGAGGGACACUAGAUUUUUGUGGCGCAGGCGUGUUAGGAGUGCUAUCUCAUUGAGGAAUUGCUGAACCUUGCAGUAGUUGCGCUCAUAUAGACGCUUGACAGCAACUUCCCUCCCAUCUUGAAGUUUGCCAUAGUAUACAGCUCCAAAACCUCCAUCUCCAAGUUCAUUUUCUGAAGCAAAGCUAUUAGUAGCUUUUUCAAGUGCAUUGUAACAGAAGAUGGAGACCCCAAAGAAGAUAUUGCCCCCUUCCCUAUCUGAUAUUGAGAAUAUAUCAGCAGACGAGUUUCUUGGGACAAUGUUUGAGGACGUCUGUUUCCUUUUAUUUCGAAGCCAGAAGAAAAUUA
This 357-nucleotide unclassified non-coding RNA is filed under the name Hevea brasiliensis (rubber tree). The record is from RNAcentral. Lineage: Eukaryota; Viridiplantae; Streptophyta; Magnoliopsida; Malpighiales; Euphorbiaceae.